UUGGAACUGGCUCGGGUACAGGCUUAAUUGUUGGAGUAGGUAGAGGUUUUUUUAGUGAAGGAAUUGGCUUUGGUAUAGGCUUAAUUGCUGGAAUAGGUAGAGGCUUUUUCACUAUUGGAAAUGGCUUUGGGAUAGGCUUGAAUACUGGAAUGGGAAUUGGCUUAAUAAUUGGGACAGGCUUGAAUACUGGAAUGGGAAUUGGCUUAAUAAUUGGGACUGGCUUGGGUAUAGGCUUAGUUACUGGAAUAGGUAGAGGCUUUUUCACUAUUGGAAUUGGUUUGGGGAUGGGCUUGAACACUGGAAUAGGAAUGGGCUUAACAAUGGGAAUUGGUUUUGGUAUAGGCUUUGUUACGGGAAUAGGUAGAGGCUUUUUCACCAUUGGUGUUGGCUUUGGAAUUGGCUUAACAACUGGAACUGGAUUAGGUAAAGGCUUUGUUACUGGAAUAG
This 447-nucleotide long non-coding RNA is filed under the name Glycine max (soybean). Its description in RNAcentral is "long non-coding RNA (GMAX_LNC002460)". Lineage: Eukaryota; Viridiplantae; Streptophyta; Magnoliopsida; Fabales; Fabaceae. The record is from RNAcentral.